This 217-nucleotide ribosomal RNA is filed under the name uncultured bacterium. RNAcentral describes it as "partial 16S ribosomal RNA". It matches the Rfam family "Bacterial small subunit ribosomal RNA", at positions 524 to 741 of the family's 1533-position model. The record is from RNAcentral.
UACGGAGGGUGCAAACGUUGCUCGGAAUCAUUGGGCGUAAAGCGCACGUAGGCGGCCUGUUAAGUCGGGUGUGAAAGCCCUGGGCUCAACCCAGGAAGUGCACUCGAAACUGGCGGGCUUGAAUAUGGAAGAGGGUCGCGGAAUUCCCGGUGUAGAGGUGAAAUUCGUAGAUAUCGGGAGGAACACCAGUGGCGAAGGCGGCGCCUGGGCCAAUAUU